CCAGACCUUUUGACAUGGCUGCCUGGCUGUUCUCAUGUCCCCUUCCCUCCCUUUUCUUUUCUGCUACAUGAACAGCCUCACACUACACCCGUGAUAUUCUGCUGGGAACUGGUGGCAUCUUGCUUCUGGGUGGAGCCCUGGCUGCUCUGAUCUGCUACUGCCAUAGGAAGAAAAGAGUUCCAAAGCCUCUGAAAAGCACCAAAGGAUCUGAGCCUGGAGAACACAUCAGGAACCUGGAUCCUGGUCAUGAUAAUAAGGGAUCAAAAGCCACGGGUGCCGGAGCGGAGCAGAUGGAACAGGGCUCAGAAGUCACCUAUGCACUCAUAGCAUUCCCGGCCUCACAGGCUCACACAACCCGGACAACAAAAAACCAAAACCUGCUGAAGAUGAGCAUGUGCUGUAUAGCGAGGUGGUGACAACGCACACCUGGAAGGCAACUAAAUAAGGAGGAGACACUCUCUCUAUGUCUCUCUGCAUGUUCUCCCCCUCCUCCUGGCAUCCAUAUCCUUAACCCUUUAUACCCCAAGAGGCCUUUUAUGCCUCUUGGCGAGGGGCACACCCCAAACACCAUUGCUAGAAUAUUUAGCCAACCAGCAUCUUGUCAUGUAUCAUAUAAAAACUGGUAACCCGUUGGUCAUGAACACCACUGUGUGAUGUAUGCACGGAUUGUGUAGCAAGUGUUACGUAUGUAUGCUGGAAAUAUGCUAUGAAUGUAGUUGAUAAAGAAGCCGGCCCUAGACAAAGGAAUGUGGAUUCAUGUGUCUGUGUGAAUCAGGCUAACUGGCAGAUAAGCAAAACAGCCUGGCUUGUGUGCUCCUGGCUGGUUUGAUGACCACUCUUACCCAGGCAGCCGGCAUAUCUGAGAACUUACAAUCUCAUAGCUGGAGACCAGACCAGGUCACCUGUGUGUUAGAUUUGCUCUAAAUAGAUAUUAGUCUUAUAAGAAUGUCUUUAAUGUUUAGAUGCUAUGAAAUGCUUGUAUGUUGCUGCCUGCAUUAAUCUAACUGAUAAUGUGAAUAUCCAAUGUUAUAAGUGUUUGCUCUGAAACUGUAAAUGCCCACAGUCUGGAGAGAAGCAUGACCAAGUGUGAAAUAUGAGUUUGCCACAAGAGGUGUUAUUUCCUGCCCAGCAAAAGCAGGCCCAUAGACACCUGACAAACCAUUGUGGAACAUCAGAGGACAAAACACUUUGUUGAUUGCGUCCCCCAACCCAUAUAGAGGAGACAUAGAUGGGAACUUGUCCCCUGCUUUUGAACUCUGGGGGAAGGGACUAAAAAUCCCUGAGAAGAAGAAAUUGCGUCAUUUUGGCUGUCUGAACUCAGAAGGGCCAGAGA
Molecule: long non-coding RNA, 1333 nt
Filed under: Chrysemys picta bellii (western painted turtle)
Lineage: Eukaryota; Metazoa; Chordata; Testudines; Emydidae
Description: lncRNA (ENSCPBG00000004902.1)
Source: RNAcentral